CUGGGAGGGGCUGUUGUGCGCGUGUGUCCUCGUGCAUUUUUCCUGUUAUGGGAAUUAAUGCCAUUUCACAUGGGUAUUAUUAGAGGGGGCUGUUACUAAACUUAGCUUCAUUCUCUAACUUAUUCAUUCUCUAAGUUUGUCCAUGCGUGGACAAAAAAGAAAUGGCAACAAAUAACCAGACCGACGAGGAAAAUGCCAAAAUAAGAAGGAAAAUAGCAUUGUAAGCGAUGAGACGGAGACGUCUGAGAGCGAUGACUUCCGUGGCCGGGAGCAGGAUCGUUUCCUUGCCGUGGGACAAGAGUCAGGAAGGGGAAAAUGUUGAAGGGUAGGUGUGGGGUAAAGAGAAAGAAAAAACUCCAUCUUCGUCUACAAUCAAUGCGCCCCUCCUCCUCCUCCUCCUCCUCCUCAUGUCGCCGCCAUCUCUCCGGCCGUAAUUCACGAGUGCGCGCUAUUUAUUUGGCUCACACCUCCCGGUAAAGCCCCGUUACGCGACUUCACACCAAAGCAUGCAUCUGAAUCACUCUGGCAGCUCGUUUUCAGGGAGGCUUGGUGAGGAGACUCUGUGGAGCCCAGAACUCAGGGGUCAAGUCCAGGUUUUCCCAGCCCCCAGCAUCCCUCCCGCUCUCCUCCGCUCCAGAGAGAUGGACAGAAUCAGGGAGAGGCGUGAAGGGAUGGGGAGGAGAGGACAUGAGCCUGAAGUGAUAGAUUGACGCUGAAGAUGAGGAACAGUGGGAACGGAUAUUAUGGACGAAAAACAGUUUACUUUUACAUUUCGCAGCCAAAGUGUUUGGCUUCUGCGUGCAGGGUGAAGUGUGGAGUGAUGAGGCCCAGGACUGCUCUUUCUCUCGCCUUCUCGUCUCCAGAGUGCCAGGCAUUUCAAGCAGGGUGAGAGACGUCGCUGAGGUGUGUGUUAUUCUUGAUGUCGGCCUCCAGCGGGGAGCAGGAGUCAACACAGCUCGUUACAUUCACAGCGCCAUCAGCCUGUCAAUCAAAUGAGGGAAGCACACCCCGAUUGGUUUCAAACACGUGCUCUCAAAACUACAGUAUGUACUAGUGUAAGACGCCUCAAAUGAGGUGCAGGUACACCUAUUUUAGUCCUGAACUCUGAGCCCUUUCAUUCCUGCCUCAUUAUUUUACAGCAUAAUCCAUCUGCAGAUAAUAACCAUUUAGGCAAUCAGUGACUGAGGAUGCCAAAAGAUACCACACACACACACACACACACACACACACACGCACGCACACACACACACACACACACACACACACACACACACACACACACACACACGCACACACACUCCUUAAACAUAAAUUAUAUUCAUCAUUGUCUUUGUGUAUCUAGUUAAUACAUUUACUGAUGUGCUUAUGAAUUUGUAAUCAGUAAGCAAAUCAAAUAUUCUACAUUCUACUAAUAAUCCAACCAUUCAGUCAAAAAUUUAAGUGAGCACAUUCUGAACUGAAAAGUGUAACCAGUAGAAAUUAUCAACCAAACCAAAAAUGUUACAUACAGU
Molecule: long non-coding RNA, 1511 nt
Organism: Megalobrama amblycephala (Wuchang bream)
Lineage: Eukaryota; Metazoa; Chordata; Actinopteri; Cypriniformes; Xenocyprididae
Exons: 3
Source: RefSeq, a predicted model, not a curated record